Long non-coding RNA from Dermacentor silvarum, 347 nucleotides. RefSeq lists it as uncharacterized. The transcript has 3 exons. The record is from RefSeq and is a predicted model, not a curated record. NCBI's taxonomy places the organism in Eukaryota, Metazoa, Arthropoda, Arachnida, Ixodida, Ixodidae.
UGUUUACUGCGUUUUCUGUGCCCUUUGCCUCGCUGUGACAUCUUUGGUAUAUUCCAACUUGUUGCUCGCUCUUUAUGGGCUACACGUUGCCUCGAAGAUCACCAUGAUCGCCUCCGACUCAGCCACAUCGAAGAAUCAAAAUGAGCCUGGAGACUCCACAGCCGGAAUGCGAAAGGUUGGAGAAGUGCUCAUUCAGAUGAUCCUGGCACAGCUUGCCAUGGUGGACCAGGCAAGUUUGCAAGGCAAGUUUGCAAGUUGAUUCACCAUGUGUUCACAAAGAAGAACCUCAUGGGCCACUCACUUCUCGGAAACAACACCACCAAUAUGCAAAAACGGGCUCUUGGCUU